CUUUCUAGCAGGCUGUGGGAGCAGCCUCAGAUCUGGCGGGGUGAGCAGGCCACCAGAAUACCCAGAGUAUGUCUGGAAAAACGGUGACUCCCAGACAUGCCCGCCAGACCUGGACAGGCAGGACCAUGCUGGUGAGAACUUGGGGGCUGCAGCUGGAGACUCUGGUGGCUCACGCCUGGAAUCCCAGCACGUGGGGAGGCCAGGGCAGGAUCACUUGAGCUCAGGAGUUGGAGACCAGCUUGGGCAACAUAGUGAGACCCUGUCUCUACUAAAAAUUGAAAAAUGAGCUGGGUGUCGUGGUGCUCGCCUUGUAGUCCCCGGCUAUGCGGGGGAGGCUGAGGUGGGAGGAUCGCUUGAGCCUAGGAGUUCCAGGCUGCAGUGAGCUGUGAUGGUGCCACUGCAUUCCAGCCUGGACAACAGAGAGACCCUACCUUCUCCCACCCUAUGGGAAGGGGGUGUGUCUUGUUUUCAUGUCACCCUUCUGCUCUCCCUACACCGUUCCCCACCAGGCUGCUGGUCAGCGCCUCCCAGGAUGGGAAGCUCAUCAUCUGGGACAGCUACACCACCAACAAGGUUCACGCCAUCCCGCUGCGCUCCUCUUGGGUCAUGACCUGUGCCUACGCGCCCUCAGGGAACUUUGUGGCCUGUGGGGGGUUGGACAACAUCUGCUCCAUCUACAGCCUCAAGACCCGCGAGGGCAACGUCAGGGUCAGCCGGGAGCUGCCUGGCCACACUGGGUACCUGUCGUGUUGCCGCUUCCUGGAUGACAACCAAAUCAUCACCAGCUCUGGGGAUACCACCUGUGCCCUGUGGGACAUUGAGACAGGCCAGCAGACAGUGGGUUUUGCUGGACACAGUGGGGAUGUGAUGUCCCUGUCCCUGGCCCCCGAUGGCCGCACGUUUGUGUCAGGCGCCUGUGAUGCCUCUAUCAAGCUGUGGGAUGUGCGGGAUUCCAUGUGCCGACAGACCUUCAUCGGCCACGAAUCUGACAUCAAUGCAGUGGCUUUCUUCCCCAACGGCUACGCCUUCACCACCGGCUCUGACGACGCCACGUGCCGCCUCUUCGACCUGCGGGCCGAUCAGGAGCUCCUCAUGUACUCGCAUGACAACAUCAUCUGUGGCAUCACCUCUGUUGCCUUCUCGCGCAGCGGCCGGCUGCUGCUCGCUGGCUAUGACGACUUCAACUGCAACAUCUGGGAUGCCAUGAAGGGCGACCGUGCAGGGGUCCUCGCUGGCCACGACAACCGCGUGAGCUGCCUCGGGGUCACCGACGAUGGCAUGGCUGUGGCCACGGGCUCCUGGGACUCCUUCCUCAAGAUCUGGAACUAACGGCCCCACCCCCUCUGGGCCCAGGCCGGGAGGGGUCCUGCCCACGCCCACACUACAGGCCAGGGCUUCGGGGCUGGGCGCACUCCCAGCCCCCUUCCCUGGGCCACGGGGCCUUGGGUCCCUGCCCUCCCACCCAGGUUUGGUUCCUCCCGGGGCCCCCACUGUGGAGAUAAGAAGGGGAUGGAAUAGGGGAAGAGGAGGGGCAGGAGGCCCUCAUCCUUCUGCUGCCCUGGGGUUGGGGCCUCACCCCUCUGGAGGGCCAGAGGCAGGAGGUGGAAACCCCAGGGGCUGGCUUUUUUAAAACUGGUUUUAUUUUAAUUUUUAUUAUAUUUUCAGUUUUUCCAUAAAGGAGCCAAUUCCAACUCUG
This 1696-nucleotide small RNA is filed under the name Pongo abelii (Sumatran orangutan). RNAcentral's name for it is "retained intron". Lineage: Eukaryota; Metazoa; Chordata; Mammalia; Primates; Hominidae. The record is from RNAcentral.